CGUCAGCACGUUGCGGCGGGGAAAGGGCGCGCCUUGGAGACGUAGGUCCACCCCGGCCGGCCUGGACCAAGGUCGCGGAGGUGGCGGCACGGACUGGCCCCCCACCCGAGCGGCGCGUGUCAGUCUGGCUCUGGCGGGAACUUCCUUACAGAGGGCGAGCGGCCAGUGCUGGGCGGACUGACACUGAGUUAGAGAGGGGAGGUGCGGUCAGAGUCGGCGGUGAGGCAAAACCUUUUAUUCAUGCCAGGAGGUGAAAGCUUUAACGCCCCCUAGGACACUCGGCAAUCGGAAGUGGCCCCUGGAAUAUUGUAUAAUUAUCUUUUGGUGUUCGUACCCAUUCCAUGGAUGUUUUUGAGUUUUCGAAAAGCAGUUACGAAGCGUUUUCUCUGGGGACGAGGCUGUUACCUCGUCCAGUUCCUGCAAAUUUCUGAAAUCGUCAUCAUCAAACUAGUGCCUGAGGGCUAGUACAAGACCCUGAGUUCCCAGGACGUUCUGUUCCAACCGCUCCGUUGUCACUUGAUUCUGACAUACCUCAAAUGUGGGAGCAGUUUUGAAACUGAAUGGAUAGAGGAUUGGUGGCAGAAGACCAGCACAGCAGAGAAGUGGCAGCAGCAGAGAAGUGGCAACAGCAGAGAAGUGGCAGCAGCAGAACCAGGAGACCAACACCAGACAGCACUGGAGCCAACCCAUGGAGUGAGAGAGCUGAGUGCCUGUGCGCAAGACGCUUCCUGGCAGAGUAGGGUGCCUCUAGGCAGCUAUUGAUGGUGCUACAGAGCUUUGGAACACCCUCUCUAGCAGGGCAGAUGCAGGCUUGAGGCCUGAGGAGCUGAAAAGCUGAGAAACCAGGAAGCAAAAGCUGAAAAGACAAAGAACACAAGAAACCGAGCUGCCUCAGUCUCAAAAGGUACAGCGCUGUUUCCACCGGGCUCCAGAGGUGCGUGCAGACUUGCUGCCACCUGGCCACACCUGACGUGACAGGAGAUACCAACAUAGUCUCAAGUGUCCACCUGAUCCAAGAAGCUCACUCCUCAGCAGCAUUCCUCUCCAUCCCAUUGUCCAGUCCAGCCCCUGUCUGAAGAGUUGGCUUUGGGAAUGGUUCCUGUCCUGGGCCAACAGAAGGUCUGGGGCCAUGACCACCAGGGUCCUUCUAAUCUCAGUCAGACCAUUAAGUCUGGUCUUUUUACAAGAAUUUGGGGUCUGCAUCCCAGCUUUUGGUCUUGUUAAUUCUUUGAAUUUUUCUGUUUUCUAUUUCAUUUAGUUCUGCUCUAAUUUUUAUUAUUUGUUUUCUUCUGGUGCCUGUGUGUUUCUUUUGUUGCCAUCUUUCUAUUUGUUCAAGUUGUAGGGAUAAUUUUUUAAUUUUUUGCCUUUUUUCUUUUUGUAUGUGUGCAUUUAUUGAUAUAAAUUGACCUCUGAGCAUUGCUUUAGCUGUGUCCCAAAGGUUCUGAUAGGAAGUGUUUUCAUUCUCAUUGGAUUCUCUGAAUUUGUUUAUUCCAUCCUUAAUGUCUUCUAUAAUCCAGUCUUUUUUGAGCAGGGUAUUGUUCAGUUUCCAAGUGUUUGAUUUCUUUUCCCUGAUUUUUCUGUUACUGAUUUCUACUUUUAUGGCCUUAUGGUCAGAGAAGAUGCUUUGUAAUAUUUCAGUGUUUUGGAUUCUGCUAAGGCUUGCUUUAUGUCCUAAUAUGUGGUCUAUUCUAGAGAAUGUUACAUGUGGACUAGAAAAGAAAGUAUACUUGGCUGCUGUUGGGUGGAGUGUUCUGUAUAUGUCUGUGAGGUUAAUUUGGUUGAUUGUGGCACUUAGAUCUUCCGUGUCUUUAUUGAGCUUCUUUCUGGGUAUCCUGUCCUUCACCGAAAGUGGUGUGUUGAAGUCUCCUACUAUUAUUGUGGAGCUGUCUAUCUCACUUUUCAAUGCUGAUAGAGUUUGUUUUAUGUGUCUUGCAGCCCUGUCAUUGGGUGCAUAAAUAUUUAAUAUGGUUAUAUCUUCUUGGUAUAUUGUCUCUUUAAUCAUUAUAUGGUGUCCUUUCUUAUCCUUUAAGAUGGAUUUAACUUUAAAGUCUAUUUUGUCAGAAAUUAAUAUUGUCACUCCUGCUCUUUUUUGAUUGUUGUUUGCUUGAUAUAUUUUUUUUCUAUCCUUUGAGUUUUUGUUUGUUUGUGUCUCUAUGUCUAAGGUGUGUCUCUCAUAGGCAGCAUAUAAACGGAUCAUGUUUUUUAAUCCAUUCUGUCACUCUCUGUUUCUUUAUUGGUGCAUUUAGUCCAUUUACAUUCAGCGUAAUUAUGGAUAGGUAUGAAUUUAGUGCUAUCAUUUUGAUGUCUUUUUUUGUGUGUUGUUGACAGUUUCUUUUUCCCACUUAAUUUAAUGUGCUGAGUAGAUUAUCUUUAUAUAUUGCACUUUCCUCAUAUUUGUUGUUGUUGAUUUUGUUUCUGCUGAGUCUCUAUUUUUUUCUUGUAUUUUGUUUUGAUGUGUAGGAUAGUGUGUCUCCGUUACGGUUAUCUUAUUAUUUACCACUAUUUUUCUAAAUUUAAACGUAACUUUUAUUUCUUUGUAUCGCCUUGUCUUUGUCCUCUCCAUAUGGAAGAUUUAUGACCACAUUUCUCAGUCCCUCUUUAUUGUUUUAAUGUUAUCUUCUUUUAUAUAAUAACAUCGCUCUUUCCCUGUUUUGAGCAUUUUUUAAUCUUGAUUUACUUUUUUAAUUUCCCUGUCUGGAUUGACUUCUGAUUGCCCAGUGUUCUUGUCUUGGGAUGAUACCUGAUAUUAUUGAUUUUCUAACCAAAGAACUCCCUUUAGUGUUUCUUGUAGUUUUGUUUUAGUUUUUACGAAUUCUCUAAACUUCUCUUUAUCUGCAAAUGUCCUAAUUUCACCUUCAUAUUUGAGAGACAGUUUUGCUGGAUAUAUGAUUCUUGGCUGGCAGUUUUUUCCUUCAAUUUUUUUAAUGUCAUCCCAUUGCCUUCUUUCCUGCAUGAUUUAUGCCAAGUAUUCCGAGCUUAUUCUUAUUGACUCUUCUUUGUAGGUGACUUUUCGUUUAUCCCUAGCUGCUCUUAAAAUUCUCUAUCUUUGGUUUUGGUAAGUUUGAUUAUGUCUUUGUGAUUUUCUUUUAACAUCUACCUUAUGUGGAGUUUGAUGAGCAUCUUGGAUAGAUAUCUUCUCAUCUUUCACGAUAUCAGGGAAGUUUUCUGUCGACAAUUCUCUGUGUAUUUUCUGUUAUCCCUCCCUGUUCUGAUAUAACAAUCACUUGUAGGUUAUUUCUCUUGAUAGAGUCCCACAUGAUUCUUAAGUUUUCUUAAUUUUUUAAAAUUCUUUUAUCUGAUUUUUCUUCAAAUAUAUUAGUGCCAAGUGCUUUAUCUUGAAGUUCAGAAAUUCUGCCGUCUACGUGCUCGAUUCUGCUCCUCUGACAUUCUAUUGAGUUGUCUACUUCUGUAAUUUUAUUGUGAAUCUUCUGAAUUUCUGAUUGCUGUCUGUCUAUGGAUUAUUCUAGCUUAUUAAAUUUUUCAUUAUGUUUCUGAAUAAUCUUUUUAAUUUUUUAAACUGCUUUAUCUGUGUCUUCCUUGUCUUGUUCUGCAUGUUGCCUCAUUUCCUUCUUGAUGUCUUGAAGGGUUCUGUAUAUUGAUCUUUUGUAUUCUGCCUCCGGUAAUUCCAGGAAGGCACUUUCAUCUAGAAGAUCCCUUGAUUCUUUGUUUUGAGAGCUUGUUGAGGCAAUCAUGGCCUGUUUCUUUAUGUGACUUGAUAUUGAGUGUUGUCUCCAAGCUAUCUAUAAGUUAUUCUAUUGGUGUAUUUUAUGUUUUCUUACUGUGUCAUAGCUUCUUGCUUUGUUUUGUUUUGACAUGCCCAAAUGGGUUGUUUGAGUGAGGUAGCUUGAUUAUUUUCACGUUUGGAGCUCUGACGUCCUGUCUCCAAAUGGCUAGAGCUGUUAUCAAUUAUAUCAGUCUAAGAGUCCAUUCACUUUUCUUGUAUGAAUUCAGCUCAGGUGUCCAGGUAGCUGAUCAUCAAGUGUGUGGUACAGGCUCUGUCCUACAGUCUUAGAAGGGCAGGGGCGAUUGGUAUAGGUACUGGUAUUUGGUUACAGCAGGGGGUCAUGCUCUGAACAAGGCAUGGGGCUGAGAAUCGUCCUCCAAGUGUCUCUGAGGAAUGCAUGUCCCUGUUCCCAAGAGCAUACCGGUGGGUGGGUUCAACAGACAGACCAUGGACACCCCAUGUUUUUGGUUGUAAGGACUGGGAGGUACCAGUUAUCCUUGGACCCCUGUUGUGGGUGGCUGGGUGACCUGACUAGAGCCACCAGUCCUUAGGCCCCUGGUGUGGGUAGAUGAGGACCCUGUUUAAUAGGCAAAGCAACGACAAACGUCAAAUACCCACCUCUCCAUCACACAGCUGAAACGGUUGUAGUCUGCCAACAAGGGCCUAUUCUCCUGAAAUAGGCCCACGCAGGUCCAUGUAGAGGGGAAAGGUACUGAAAGUCCACGGACUCUUUAUGCCUGGACAGAAGCCGUGCCUGGACAGAAGCCGCCUCUGUCCUCAGCUCAUCUGGUUAGUGAAGCUGCCAAAUUAUCUUUUCCCCCAAUAGCAAAUUUAUUCCUUCUCCAAGGCCGGGAGGAUGGCUCUACGUGCUCAACAGGGCAUAUCUCAGGCCCAGGGAAAUCAGCCGCUGAAGCCAGCUUGGGAGCAGGGGUGCGCAGUAAAAUAUAUGCAAAUACUUAGCUUUUGCUGAGAGCACUUUUCUUCUCUGGUUCCAGAGGUGUGAGUAGGCUGUAUGGCUGGCUGGUUCUCCCUGAGGAAAGUGCGGCCAAAUGCUAGUACCAACCCACUGCAGCAGCUCUCAGGAAUGGCGCCUGAGUGCUUCCUGCGAUUCAGGUUGGCAGUUCAAACCACCCAGAAGGACCUCUAAAGAAAAGCCUGAUGAUCUACUUUCAAAAAAUCAGCCACUGAAAACCUUGUAGAGCAUACUUCUGCUCUGUAAUGUAUAGGGUUGCCAUGAGUUGGAGUUGACUCAAUGGCAACUGGUUUUAUUGUGUUUACUAUCUCUAUUGUAUUAUCCCUUAUUUCUCAAUGUUUCUUUCAUGCAUUAUUCAACAAGUAUUCAUUGAAAGUACGGGUCCAGGUAUUAGAAGUGCCAAGGUGUAUGGUCACAGUUGUAUCCUCAGAGAGUACAGCCUGAUGGGGGGUCUGGCAUUUGACCAGAAAUACAGUGUAGAGAUAGGUGCACAUAGGUAGGGCAUUGAAAUAGGUGAACUUUCAUGGGCACCAACUGAAAUAAUAACUCUGUUGAUAAGAAUCCGUACAAAGUUGGUUCCUAUGAGGUGGAGGGCAAAUAUAUCCUCAUUCUCCAACUUCUCCACCAUUUCUGAAACCAGCUGUUCUCCCCAUGGCAUUCUUUUUCUAUUGGAUUCAAUAAUUCAUUGCAGUGAUUACAGAGAACUCAUGGAAACACCAAAUCUGCAAUAACAACAGAGAAGGAUAUAAACAGAAACAAAGAUAUGCAUAGGUAAGGUUUGGGAGUGGUCCCAGCAUGGGCCUUCAACCUCUUAAUGGGAUCUGCUUACCCUUUCUGAAAGCCAGUGUUCAUUCUCACCCAUCAGGAAAUUUUCAGACAGGAAAAAAUGAUGUCAUUUGGCUGGCUUGACUAUUGGCCACUCCUCUCAGCUGGCUCCUGGCUCUUCCUGGCCAGCCCUAGGACAGCUUUUAGAUGGACCCUACUCUGCAGAUGGCCCCCUACUUGGAGCUCCCUGCUCAGGGCGCCCCAGCUCUCAGAUUGUUGCGGUUCUGGGCUGGAUUCAGCCUUUACGCUCUGCUGUCACCAUUCAGAGCUGCCCUUUGUCUUCAUCUCUUCAGGUACAUUGCAGCUGCUGCUUCCAUUGCCGGUGCUGGUUUACCCAGUCUGGGAGGGUCAUGGCACAGGGCCCCAUGUCCAAAUGAUGUGCUCCUUUCCUGGCUGUUAUCAAUCAGGAGGCCCCAACCGAGGCUCCAUGUUCUAGGGUUUCGUCAGUCACUGGGUGGGCCCCUCAGCCAGUCUGGGUAAAGGUCAACUAGUGGGUGGAAGCCCAGUCAAGGUCAACUACAGGAUGGGGCCCCCAGGCAAUCUCAGUAAAGAUCAGACCAGGUGGGGCCCCCCAGCCAAUCCUGGUAAAGGUAGAUUACCAGAUGGGGCUCCCAGCCAAUUUGGGUAAAGGUCAGUUAUUGGGCAUGGCUCCCCAGCCAAACCUGGUAAAUGUCAGACUGGUCAGGGCUUUGAAACCAGGACCAGAAGGCAGAAUUAGUUCUUUAGUAAGAUGAUUCCAUACUGUGCAGACAUCUAGUCCAGACUGGGAGUCAGAUAAUAUUUUCUGGAGGUUAUCUGAGCUGAGUCUUGAGGGAAAAUGGGAGUUAUCCAGAUAAGGUAUGGGAGGAAGGAUAUUCCCGAACUAUUUGGACAUCUGUGUUAUGGGCCAUCUAGCUCCUUUAUAGGAAUGCCUGUGGCUCUCCUGGAAGCCACCAUAUUCAUAGGGUCUUCAUGGUGUCCCCUGAGCCACAAAUGGUCGUUACGGUAGAGACGCUGCCAAACUGAGCCUGUCAGAGUCUUUCCCCAGAAUGAUUUGAAUCGUCAAUGGCAAGCAAUCAGCCUCUUCCUGGAGGUAGGAACGGCAAGAUGUGAGACCCAGGAGUUGGCCUCCACGGUCCUUUCCUUGUGGAGAGAACUGUCCUGCAGUGAAGGACAGUGGGGCCACCACAAGGAGUGCAGAGAGACAUGAGGAGUCCCAGGCACUCAGACUCCAGUCGUUCCCAAGAGUCGAAUUCAUCCCCAUCUUACUCAUGGUCUGACGGUCAACCCUUCCUUGGAUUAUGUGAUGUACUACACUGCUUUGCGAAAAACUCUUAAUUAUCUAAUUAUCGAUAAUAAAUAAGUGAAUUCCUAAUAAAUUGCCUAAGAUAUUCUCAGUGCAGUUUCUAUCUCCAUAACAAAAAUCAUUCCAACUAAUGCAGGAUCCUAAUCACUGGGGAGCUCACACUCCAUGAGCCAGUGAGAGUGGAGGACAAGUGCUCUUGUUUGGAAAAUGGGGCUGCGUGCAUAGCAGGUGGUGUCACUCAAGCACUGCCUGAUGUUUCUAGCUGAUGGGUUUAUAACUGAAAUACUAAACCACUCUGGAGGCUUUAGUCACACACAGGCUAGAUUACUGAAAGACCAUCAAAGAAGCCGCUAUCAGACCCCACUCACCACACAUUUCAUGACCCACCAGUGCCUUUAAGACCAUGUACUGCACCCAGGGUCUUACUUCCCCUGACCUUGCCUCUUCUUGAGCAUUAUCAUCUCAGAUCUCAGACUGCCCUUGACUUCACAUUAACACAUUACAUUAUAGCUGUCACAUAUCAACUCCGUCCUUGACCUCAACCUGUUUCUCUCUUGUAUAGGCUUUGAUGACCUUGUUAUACUUUUCCUAGUAUAUUACCACUCUAUAGAGUCUGUUUUUAGUUUUGCUUUUUUGUGUUCAAGCUGAAAACUUGAAGGAACCCUUGAGUCCCCGAGGCUACUCAAAGGCCCAGCCAGACACUCUUUGGCUUAAAGAGCUGUAAUAACUUAAGGGAUUCCUUCUUGAAUUUUAGGAAGAGCAGAGGCUAACAGUAGAAGAACAGGACAUCUGAGGUCAAUAAGGAGUGGGUGGAGAGUGGAACUGGGGAGCCCUGGUGGCUGCUGAGGCCAAACUUUAGCAGCAACAUCAUCAAAGUCCUUGAUUGUCCUAAGACUGGUGUGCUCGGGGGAGAUUAGACUUAUAUCAGUUCUUGUUUGGAGGUUUGCCCAGAAGAUUUGUUAGGCGUCUCUGGAAGAGCAACUACAUCCAAAGCCAGAGCUCAACGCUGAGUCCCAGUUGUUGACAAAGAUGAUGAACACACUGUUGACUUCAAUCUUUGUGGUGGGAAAAAAGUCCAGUCUAAUUUUUAAUACCAGUAUUGACUCUGUUUGUCCUUAAACCUUGCUCUCCUGUUCCAAACCUCUUAGAGGCACCAGAAGAGUCAGGCAAACAGCAGGUCUUUUGAAACACUUUCAUCUGAAAGGGCCAAGUUCAACAGGUUUACAAAAGUCCAAUUCAUCCAGACAGGAGUAUACUCUAUCGAUGCACUUGAGCUCUGAUAGUAAAACAUAAAGUGAUUUGUUACUGCUUGGAAAGGUUUUCUGGAAAGGCAUCUUUAUGAAUAAAUUGAGGCAUAACAGAGACGCUGACCCCACAAUGUGUCCACAUUUUCCUCAGGAGGAAUAGAUGGUGAGUGCUCUUUUCUGAUUUCAGUACAUUACCAAGAUCAUUCUUUGCCAGCUGUAAGAAAUUUGGAGGAGAGUUCAGAGACAAGAUAUAUUGAUGCAACAGUUUUUAAAUAUUGAGUCAGCUCUCCAUUUUUUGAGGUGAGAAGAGUCGGGGGAACUGCGUGAUCUCCUUCUGGGUAAUAGCUUUCAGAGGCCAGAAGGAGUAGCAGGAAAAUGGCCCAAACUGGAAUUAGCUCCUGAAUUAAUAAGAUAUUGGCCCUCAGAGAAGUUGUAAAAAGUCUGGGGAAAUGCUUGAAUAAUGAACUACUCGUCAUGAGACACGUGAGUAAAACAGGUUCCAUAAGAAGCAGGUAUAAAGAUGUUCCUGGGUGGCGCAAGUGGUUAACGUACUUGGUUGCUAACUGAAAGGUUGGAGGUUCAAGUCCACUCAGAGGUGCCUCAGAAGAAAGGCCUGGUGAUCUACUUCCAAAAUAGCAGCCGUUGAAAACUCUAUGGCGCACAGUUCUACUCUUACACACAUGGUAUCCUCAUGAAUUGGAGUCCACUCAAUGGCAACUGGUUCUAAAGACAAAAAAAUACCAUUGCUGUGGAGUCGAUUCUGACUCAUUGAUCCUAUGUUAAAGAGUAGAGCUGCUUCAUAAGGUUUUCUUGGCUGCGAUCUUAACAGAAGGAACCCUAGUGAUCCAGUGGUUAAAGCACUCAGCUGCUAAGCAAAAGGUGAGUGGUUGGAACCCACAAGCCCCUCUGCAGAAGAAAGAAGUGGCAGUCUGCUUCCGUAAAGAUUUACAGCCUUGGAAACCCUAUGGGUCAGUUCUACUGUGUCCUACAGGGUCUCUAUGAGUCGUAAUUGACAGCAGUGGGUUUGGUUUUUUAUUUAGUAUUAAUGUAAGCUGAUCACCAGGCCUGUCUUUCUUAGUACUGCUGGGUGUGUUUGAACCACCGAACUUUAGGUUAGUAGUUGAGUGCAAACCGUUUACACCACCUAGGGACUGACCAAGGGCCUGAAGCUGGAAUUGGAAUGAGAGAACUGGUCCUGAUUAUGGCUCAGACUACAGAAAGCCAGCUUUAUAUAUGUCAAAUCUACAUGGUAUGACUCCAAAUGACAGAACUCUUUCUAACUUCUGAGGAGAGGGGGCAGCAUUCCAAGCAGUCCUUAAGAACACCUUUGGAAUGUAUUUCAGAGUCACUAUUUACAUUAUGUGCAGACUUUUCUAUUGCAGUACUGAGACUGUGUAAUGAUGUGAGAGGUAGAGGGUGGUAGCAGUACAGGGAUAAGGCAUCCAACAAAGAGGAUCCACAACAGGCCAAUGGCAGCUGGGGCAGCCGCCCUCUUGUCAACCCAUGGGUACCUGGCAGCUGUUCCUCUCUGGGGGUUAUCUGCCAAAAAUAGCAGGCUGAAGGUUUACUGAGGUAUUUACACUGAUUUUUAGAUCUCCUCAGGCUAGACUGCAAAUGGAUAGCCUGGAAAACAAAGGUUUUGCACCCACUCAUUCCUUUGGUGAUUACCAGCAUGGACCUCCAUCUCAGAGACCCAAUGUCCUGCUACGAGAGAUUUCACAGUCCCUGGGGAGAUUUUAGCAUUGGGAGGCCAUAAGUCAUGACUUCUGAGCAAGAGGCUGAGAGAACAAUGACGGGGAUCCAGGAUCACGGAACCCUUGGACCAGUAGCCAAUUGUGUCUGUAGGCUCUUGAGAGAGUUAUACAGAGACUUGGACACCAAGGCAGAAUCUCUGCUUAUUAUUUGAAGGUUUUGACCCCAAUUCCUGAGAGGAAACACUGGCUCUGGAUUGCUGGAAUGGACCAUUGGUGAGCCCCAAUCAACAAUUCAGCAAAUUGGCUUUUGAUGAAUCAAUCCUUUGUCCAUUUGAUGAAUUGACUUUUUAAGAAUUGAUGUUUGGAGAAAUGAAUGGUAACUCUCUGGAGUCUCUUUCACAGACUAGUAGAAAAAACUGGGUGGGAAAACUUUAACCACACAGAGAAGCUCUGUUCAGCCUCUGUGUUGAGCUGGAACUUCAGAGAUAAGGCUGCAGGUGGGCAGGGUUUUCCUGUGGCCUCUGUGCUCUUCAGUUCUCAUGGCCCCAGGCAGAAGCUGGGCUGAGCAGAAGUCAACAGAUAAAUCUUCAGGCAAGAGAACUGCCUUCCAGAAAUGUCAUGAGGGAAGAAAGAGAAGUGCUGGGGGAGUGGGAGGGGUCAGAUAGAACAUUGUCGGUACAGCUUUGGGGGGACAUGGUGAGUUACCUGUGGCUUUGUUCUCAUCCGUGCUUUUGCUGGUCUUUGCAAGGCCAACAUUACCUGAGACAAUUUGGCUGCCCAAAUCUCCCUGAGGGACAGGUUCCAUUGGUCAGGUGGGCCUGGUUCAGCUUGCCUUCAACUCUGAUUGCUGUCUGCACUCAUGGCUCCCUCUUGGCAGCUAGGGGUGACUUCAGUCUAUGCCUGUCAUUCUGCUGCUUCUUCAAAUGUGUUCCCUGCUGCCCUGCUCUUCUUGUACCUGUUCUAGACCAUUUGCCCUGGGUUUGUUGCUGUCAUUUUCCUUGCAAAAGUGUGCUUUCUGCUCCAAGAUGCCUCAAUUUUUCUCACUCAUUCCUCCUCUCAUAAAAUGAACCUCAGAGGCUUCCUCUUAAAAUAUUCUUCCAUUUGUAUAGCUGAUCAAUUGGGGAUAAGGCUGGGGGUUUACCUUCCUCAUUCUCAGAGAAAGAAGGUGGUGUCUUUUUUCUCUUCUGGUAAAUUAUUAGGUGGAUUUAAAUAAUCUUUACAUGUAUUCUUUUAGUUUUGAAACAGCUUUAUUGAGGUAUAAUUGACAUGAUAAACUGCACAUAUUUAAAGUGUACAAUCUUAUGCUUAUUGAUAUAUUUAUGCAUCUAUAUACCUGUGAAACCAUUACCACAAUCAAUAUAGAAAACAGGUAUUCAUCACCCUCAAAGGCUUUCUUGUGUUCCUGGGAAUGUCGCCCUCCCCAAGCCACUGCUUAUCUGCUAUAGAUUAGUUUGCAUUUUCGAGAAUUUUAAAUAAAUGGAACCCCACACAGUGUGUGCUUUUUUUAAAUUUGCCUUCUUUCACUCUGUAAUUUUUUAAAACUGUACUUUAAAUGAAGGUUUACAGAAAAAACUAGCUUCUCAUUAGUACACAUAUUGUUUUGUGAACAUUGGUUGCCAACGCCAUGACAUGUCAAUACUCUCCCCUUCUUGAUCUUGGGUUCCCUGUUACCAGCUUUCCUGUCCCCGUCUGCCUUCUAGUCCUUGCCUCUGGGCAGGUGUGCCCCUUUAGUCUCAUUUUGUUUUAUGGGCCUGCCUAAUCUUUGCCUGCAGAGUGAACCUCAGGAGUGACUUCAUUGCUAACCUAAAAGGGCAUCCAGGAGCUGUACUCUCAGGGUUUCUCCAGACUCUGUCAGACCAGUAAGUCUGGUCUUUUUCUUUUCUUUUUGUGAGUUAGCAUUUUGUUCUACAUUUUUCUCCAGCUCUGUCCGGGACUCUCUCUGUCAAAGCAGUUGGUGGUGGUAGCUGGACACCAUCUAGUUGUGCUGGGCUCAGUCUGGUGGAGGCUAUAGUACUUGUGGUCAGUCAUUUGGACUAAUCUUUGCCUGGUGUCUUUUGUUUUCAUCAUUCUCCCUUGCUCCAGACAGGGUGAGAACCGUGACAUAUCUUAGAUGGCCGCUCACAAGCUUUUAAGACCCCAGACUUAACUCACCAAAGUAGAAUGUAGAUCUAUGUUAUGCCAGUUGAGCUAGAUGUUCCCCAGACCAUGGUCCCCACAGCCCUCAGGCCAGUAAUUUGGUCCCACAGGGAGUUUGAAUUUGUCUGUGGCUUCCGUGACCUUGCCUUGGACAAGUUGUACUGGCUCCCCCAGUAUUGUGUACUGUCUUACCCUUCACCAAAGUUGCCCCUCAUCUGUUGUCUAUUUAGUGUUUUUCUAUCUCCACCCCUCCCCUCCCUCAUAACCAUCAAAGAUUAUUUUUUUGUGCAUAAACAUUUUCAUGAGUUUUUAUAGUAGUGAUCUAUACAAUAUUUGUCCUUUGGUGAUUGACUUAUUUCACUCAGCAUAAUGCCCUCCAGAUUCAUCCAUGUGAGAUGCUUCGCAGAUUCAUCAUUGUUCUUCAUCAUUGCUUAGCAUUCCAUUGUCUGUAUGUACCAUAGUUUAUCCAUUCAUCUGUUAAUGGACAUCUAGGUUGUUUCCAUUGUUUUGCUCUUGUGAACAAUGCUGCAAUGAACAUCGGUGUGGAUAGGUCUAUUAGUGUGACAACUCUUAUUUUUCUAGGAUAUAUUCCUAGGAGUGGGACUGCUGAAUCAUAUGGCAUUUCUAUUUCUAGGUUUCUAAGAAAGCGCUAUUUCUUUUUACAAAAUGGUUGUACUAUUUUGCAUUCCCACCAGUAGUGCGUAAGAGUUCCAAUCUCUCUGCAGCCUCUCCAACAUUUGUUAUUUUCUGUUUUUUUGAUUUGUGCCAGUAAUGUUGGGGUGAGAUGGUAUCUCAUUGUGGUUUUUAUUUGCAUUUCUCUAAUGGCUAGUGAUCCCAAGCAUUUCUUCAUGUGUCUGUUAGCUGUUUGAAUUGUCUUCUUUGGUGAAGUAUUUAUUCAUAUCCUUUGCCCAUUUUUUAAUUGGAUUAUUUGUCUUUUUGUUGUAGAGGUGUUGGAUUUUCCUGUAGAUUUUAGAGGUUACACCUUUGUCAUGUAUGUCAUAGCCAAAUUUUUUUUUCCCAGUCUGUAGGUUCUCUUUUUACUCUUUUGGUGAAGUCUUCUGAUGAACAUAAGUGUUUAAUUUUAAGAAGAUCCCAGUUAUCUAGCUUAUCUUCUGGAGUUUGUAUGUUGUUAGUUAUGGUUUGUAUCCUGUUAAUGUGGUGUGUUAACGGUCUUUGGUGUUGAUCCUGUUUUUUCUUCUAUGAUCUUCAUAGUUUUUGGUUUUAUAUUUAGGUCUUUGAUCCAUUUUGAAUUAGUUUUUGUGUAUGGUGUCAGGUAUGGGUCCUGUUUCAUUUUUUUUUUUUUUUUUUUUGCAGAUGGGCAUCCAGUUUUGCCAGCACCAUUUGUUGAAAAGACUGCCUUUUUCCCAUUCAGUGGAUUUUGGAACCUUGUUAAAGAUCUGGUGACCAUAGGUGGAUGGAUUUACAACUGAGUUCUCAAUUCUUUUCCCUUGGUCAGUGUAUCUGUUGUUGUACCAGUACCAGGCUGUUUUGACUACCAUAGCUGUAUAGUAGAUUCUGAGGACAGGUACUGCGAGCCUCCUCCUUUAUUCUUCUUCAGUAGUGCUUUACUUAUCCAGGAGCUCUUCCCUUUCCAUAUAAAGUUAACAAUUACUUUUUCCAUCUCUUUAAACAACACUGUUGAUAUUUAGAUCAGGAUUGCCUUGUAUUUGUACAUUGCUUUGGGUAGAACUGACAUUUUUCACAAUGUUGAGUUUACCUAUCCAUGAACGUGGUAUGUUUUUCCAUUUAUGUAGGCCUCUUUUGGUUUCUUGCAGUAGUGUUUUGUAGUUUUCUUUGUAUAGGUCUUUUACAUCCCUCAUUAGAUUUAUUCCUAGGUAUUUUUUUAAUUUUAGGGGCUAUUAUAAAUAAUAUUGUUUUCCUGAUUUCCUUUUCAUCAUUCUCUUUAUUAGUGUAUAGGACUCAAACUCAUUUUUGUAUGUUUAGCUUAUAUCCUGCUACUCUGGUGAAUCUAUUAGUUUCAAUAGUUUUCUCAUGGAGUCUUUUGGGUUUUCUAUGUAUAAGAUUAUAUCAUCUGCAGAUAGGGACAGUUUUACGUCUUCCUUAUUAAUUUGAAUGCCCUUUAUUUCUUUUUCUUGCCUUAUUGCUCUAGCUAGGACUUCCAGCACAAUGUUAAAUAGGAGUCGUGAUAAAGGACAUCCUUGUCUUGUUCAGUUUUCAGUCUCUUUCCAUUAAAAAUAAUGUUAGCUGUUGUUUUUAUAUAAUGCCCUUUAUUAUGUUGAGGAAUUUCCCUUCUAUACCUAUUUUUUUGAGUGUUUUUAUCGGGAAUGGGUGUUGGACUUUGUCCAAUGCCUUUUCUGUAUUGAUUGAGAUGCUCAGGUGAUACUUUUACUUUAUUUAUGUUGUGGAUUAUGAGUGACUUUCUAAUGUUGAAUCAUCCUUCCAUUACUGGUAUGAAUCUCACUUGGUCGUGGUGUAUUAUUUUUUUAAUAUGAUGCCGGAUUCUUUUGGCUAGAAUUUUGUUGAGAAUUUUUGCAUCUAUAUUCAUGAGAGAUAAUUGGUCUGUAAUUUUCUUUUUUUGUGGUGUCUUUGCCUGGUUUUGGCAUCAGUGUUAUGCUGACUUUAUAGAAUGAAUUUGAAAGUAUCCCUUCCUUUUCUAUGUUCUGAAAUAGUUUGAGUAGUACUGGUGCAAGCUCUUCUCAGAAUGUUUGGUGGAAUUCUCCAGUGAAAUGAUCUGAGCCAGGGCUUUUGUUGUUGUUGUUGUUGGGAGUUUUUUAAAAUUACCUUUUCAAUCUCUUCUCAUGUUAUGUGUCUGUUCACUUUUCAACAUCAUUUUGUGUUAGUUUGGGUGGGUAAUGUGUGUCUAGAAAUUUGCCCGUUUCCUCUAGGUUUUCAAAUUUGUUGGAGUAUAGUUUUUCAUAAUACUCCGUUAUGAUCCUUUUUCUUUCAGUUGGGUCUGUUGUAAUGUCCCCCUUUUCAUUUCUUUUUUGGGUAAUUUGCAUCCUCUUUUGUUUUUCUUUUGUCAGUUUCACUAGUGGUUUGUUGAUUUUGUUGAUCCUUUCAAAGAACCAGCUUUUGGUUUUGUUAAUUCUAUUGUUUUUCUAUUCUCAAUUUCAUUUAUUUCUGCUCUGAUCUUUAUUAUUUCCUUUCUUCUGUUGGCUGUGGGCUUCUUUUGCUGUUCUUUUUCUCUUUGUUCAAGUUGUAUAGCUAAUGUUUUGAUUUUGUCCCUUUCUUCUUUUUUGAUGUGUGCAUCUAUUGCUAUAAAUUGACCUUUCAGCACUGUCUUUGCUGUGCCACAGAGGUUUUGGUAUGAUGUGUUUUCAUUCUCGUUUGAUUCUAGGAAUUUUUUGAUUCCAUCUUUGAUUUCUUCUAAUACCAAUUGUUUUUUAAGCAGGGUGUUAUUCAGUUUCCAUGUAUUUGAUUUUUUUUCCUUGCUCUUCCUAUUGGUAAUUUCUACUUUGAUGGUGUUGUGGUCAGAGAAGGUAUUUUGUGUUAUCUCGAUGUUUUGAAUUUUCUUGAGGGUUUCUUUGCAGCCUAGGAUGUGGUUUAUUCUGGAGAAUGUUCCCUGUGCAUUGGAAAACAGUGUGUACUUUGCAGCUGUUGGAAGGAGUGUCCUAUAUAUGUCUGUCAGGUCGAGUUGGCUGAUGGUGACCUUUAAGUCUUCUGUGUCUUCGUUGAGUUUCUUUCUAGAUGUUCUGUCCUUUACUGAGAGUGGUGUGUUGAAGUCUUGUACUGUUAUUGUGGAACUGUUAAUUUCUCUUUUCAGUGCCUUUAGGGUUUGUUUUAUAUAUUUUGGAACCUUGUCAUUGGGUGCAUAGAUAUUUAUUAUGGUAAUGUCAUGAUGGAUUGCCCCUUUAAUCGUCAUAUAAUGCUCUUAUUUUUCUUUUACGGUGGAUUUUGUUUCAAAGUCUAUUUUAUCUGGUAUUAGUAUUGCCACUUCUGAUCUUUUUUGGUAGAUGUUUUCUUUAUAUAUAUAUUUCCAUCCUUUGUUUUUUAAUAAAUUUACAUCUUUGUUUCUAAGGUGUGUCUCUUAUAGACUACGUAUUGAUGGAUCCUAUUUUUUUAAUCCAUUCUGUCUAUUUCUGUCUCUUUAUGGGUGCAUUUAGGCCAUUUACAUUCAGUGUAAUUAUGGAUAGGUGUGAGUUUAUUACUGUCAUUUUGUAGUGCUUUUUUGUGGUGCUAAUGUUUUAUUUCAUGCUCUUAUUUGCCUGUGCUGAAUUCCAUUUGUUUGUGGAUUUUUUUUUCUUUCAUUUUUAUAGAUUUUGUGUUUACUGAGACUUUAUGUUUUUCUUCUGUAUUUUGAUGAGUAGGUUUGUUAACUUGCGUUGUCCUUGAAAUUUAUCCUUAUCUUCCUAAGUUUGAACUAGUCUUUUGUUACUUGUUAUCGCCUCGAAUUCCUCUCCAUUUGAAAGUUCUAUAGCUGUACUGUUUAUUCCCUCUUUUAUUGUUCUAACAUUGUUGUCAUUACAGUUUAACCUCUGUGGUUCCCUGUUGUAAAUCUUUUAGUUUUGUUUUAUCCUUGAGAGUUCAUGACCUAGGUUGGUAUCUAGCUAGAUUCAGGCUAUCGUCUGAUGUUGUUGGUUCUCUAAGAGAAGGACUCCCUUUAAAAUAUUCUUGUAAAUUUGGUUUGUUUUUUACAUAUUCUCUUAAUUUCUAUUUAUCUGGAAAUGUCCUAAUUUCACCCUAAUACUUUAGCAAGAGUUUUGCUAGAUGUAUUAUUCUUGGUUGGCAUUUUUUUUUUCUUUUGAGGUUUUAUAUAUGUCACCCCAUUGCCUUCUUGCCUCCAUGGUUUCUGUUGAGUAAUCAAAACUUAGUCUGAUUGUGUCCAUUCUGUAUGUGACUUUUUAUUUUUCCUCUAACUGUUCUCAGGAUUCUUUCUUUUUCUUUGGUUUUAGCGAGUGUGAUUAUGAUAUGCCUUGGUGAUUUUCUUUUGGGGUCUGUCCUAUAUGGACUUGACUGAGCUUCUUGGACGGUCAGCUUUUCAUCUCUCAUGAUAUUAGGGAAGGUUUCUGUCAGCAAUUCUUCAAUAAUUCUCUCUGUGUUUUCCAUCCUCCCCCCCAACCCAUUUUGGAACUCCAAUCACUUGCAAAUUUUUGCUUUUGAUUGUAUCCCACAUCGUUCUCAGGGUUUCUUCAUUCUUUUCUCUGAUUUUUCCUCAAAGUUGUAUCCAAACAUUUGUCUUCAGUUUCAUUGGUCCUGUCUUUCAUUGCUUCAAACCUCUCCUCAAACCUUCUAUGAUACUGUCCAUUUUGAAAUGUUUAUCUUUUGGAUUUCUAAUUUCUUUUUUGUAUGACUUUUAGGUGUGAAUUUAUUUUGACAUUUUGUUCCUGCAUUAUUUUCCUGAAUUCUUCCAUUGUUUUGUCUGUCUUUUCCCAUGAUUUUGUCUGUGUUUUCCAUGAUUUUGUCUAUUUUUUCCUCAUUUUUGUCUGAUUUUCCUUAAUCUCUUGGAUAGCCCUGAAGAUCAGAGAUUUUAAUCCCCUAUCAGUUUGUUCUAGUGCCUUUUCUUCUGCUAGAAGGUCAUGUGAUGUUUUAUUUUGGACGACUACUCGAAGCACACUGUUCUUUUUUUAUGUUUUGCUAUUAUCUGCCCCCAGGGAGCCCACCAAUGUGGCUGCGCAGACAGGGGAAGUGACUUCCCAGCUAGCAGUGCAGCACAGGCUGUCAAAAAGGAGUGGAGGAGAAGCAGAGCCAAGAGGGCGGAAUAGACAGAUGCUUCUGGCGAGCUGUCUUUACAACAAAGACCCCCCCAAAAACAAGUAAAACUAGUAUAUUUGUGACAAGCUGGGAGCGCUGAGCUUCAAGGGCAAACUUAGAAAAUGAACUGAGGGACAGGGGGAGGAAGAGACCGUUCAGAAAUGGAGGGGAGUUACCAGACCUGAAUUGCGGGGAGCCGUCAGGCACCGUUCCUGGAGCUGCAGCGGUGGGCUGGUACUAGCGUUCGGCCGCAGAUUCCUCAGGGAGAAGCAGCCAGCCAUACAGCCUACUUACACCUCCGGAACCUGAGAAGAAUGGCGCUCUUGGCAAAAGCUAAGUACUUGCGUAUGUUUUACUGCGCCACCCCACCCCUAAGUCAGCUUCAGUGGGUGAAUUCCCUGGGCCUGAAAUAGGCCCCGUUGAGCGCUUAGAGCCAUCCUGCUGGCCUUGGAGAAGGAAAAAAAUUUGCAAUUGGGGGAAAACAUAAUUUGCCAGGUCCACCAACUGAGGGAGCUCAGGAGAGAAGUGGCUCCUGUCAGGGCAUAAAUGGUCCAUGGACUUUGAGCAGUUUUCUCUUCUGCAUGGACCUGUGUGGGUCUAUUUUGGGAGAAUUGGCCCUCGUUGGCAGACUCCAGCCAUUUCAGCUUUGUGGUGUAGAGGUGGAUGUUUGAUGUUUGACAUUGCUUUGCCUAUUAAACAAGGUCCUCACCUACCCACAUCAGGGACCCAAGGACUGGUAGCUCCACUCAGGUCACCCAGCCACCUGUGACAGGGGUCCAAGGAUAACUGGUACCUCCCAGUCCUUACAACCAAAAACAUUGGGUGCCCAUGGUCCAUCUGCGGAACCCACCCACCUGCACGCUCUAGGGAACAGGGGUGCACUUUUCGCAGACACCCGGGGGUUGGUUCUCAGCCCCCUGCCUUGUUCAGAGAGUGACACCCUGCUGCAAUCAGAUACAGGUACCUACACCAAUUACCCCUGCCCCUCUAAGACUGUAGGACAGAGCCUGUACCACACACUUGACGAUCAGCUACCUGGACACCUGAGCUGAAUUCAUACAAGAAAAAUGAAUGACUUCUAGACUGAUAUAUCUGAUAAGAGCUCUAGCCAUCUGGGGACAGGACAUAAGAGCUCCAAAGGUGAAAAUAAUCAAGCUAGCUCACUCAAGCAACCCAUUUGGGUGUAUUGAAACAAAACAAAGCAAGAAACUAUGACACAGUAAACAAGAAUGAACUAAUACAAUAACUUAUAAAUGGUUCGGAGACAAUAGUCAAUAUCAAAUCACAUAAAGAAACAGACCAUGAUCACCUCAACAAGCUCUCAAAACAAAGAAUCCAGGGAUCUUCUAGGUGAAAAUGCAUCCCUGGAAUUACCAGAGCCAGAAUACAAGAAAUUAAUAUACAGGAGCCCUCGAGACAUCUGGAAGAAAAUGAGGCAAUACGCAGAACAAGCCAAGGAACACACAGAUAAAGCAAUUGAAGAAAUUAGAAAGAUUAUUCAGGAACAUAGUGAAAAAUUUAAUAAGCUGCAAAAAUCCAUAGACAGCAAUCAGAAAUUCAGAAGAUUAACAAUAAAGUUACAGAAGUAGACAACUCAAUAGAAAGUCAGAGGAGCAGAAUUGAGCAAGUAGAAGCCAGAAUUUCUGAACUUGAAGAUAAAUCACUUGGCACUAAUAUAUUUGAGGAAAAGUCAGAUAAAAGAAUUUCAGAAAAUGAAGAAACCUUAAGAAUCAUGUGGGACUCUCUCAAGAGCAGUAACCUAUGAGUGAUUGGAGUACCAGAACAGGGAGGGAUAACAGAAAAUACAGAGAGAAUUGUUGAAGAUUUGUUGACAGAAAACUUCCCUGAUCUCCUGAAAGAUGAGAAGAUAUCUAUCCAAGAGGCUCAUCAAACUCCACAUAAGGUGGAUGUUAAAAGAAAGUCACCAAGACAUAUUAUAAUCAAACUUGCCAAAACUAAAGAUAAAGAGAGAAUUUUAAGAGCAGCUAGGAAUAAACAAAAAGAUGCCUACAAAGGAGAGCCAAUAAGAAUAAGCUUGGCCUACUCAGCGGAAACCAUGCAGACAAGAAGGCAAUGGGAUGAUGUAUUUAAAAAAUUGAAGGAAAAAAAUGGCCAGCCAAGAGUCAUAUAUCCAGCAAAACUGUCUCUUAAACAUGAAGGUAAAAUUAAGACAUUUCCAGAUAAACAGAAGUUUAGGGAAUUUGUAAAAACCAAACCAAAACUACAAAAAAUUCUAAAGGGAGAUCUUUAGUUAGAAAAUCAAUGAUACCAGGUAUCAACCCAAGACUAGGACACUGGGCUGAGCAAUCAGAAGUCAACCCAGACAGGGAAAUAAAAAAAACAAAACAAGAUUUUAUAUAUAUAUAUAAAAGCCCAAAACAGGGUAACAGCAAUGUUAUUAUAUAAAAGGAGACAACAUUAGAACAAUAAAGAGGGACUAAUAAAUGUAAUCAUUGAUCUUCCAUAUGGAGAGGAAGAUAUGGCGAUACAAAGAAAUAAAAUUAGGUUUAAAUUUAGAAAAAUAGGGAAAAAUAAUAAGGUAAGCACAAAGGAGACAAACUAUCCUACUCAUCAAAAUAAAAUACAAGAAAAAAGUAGAGACUGAGCAGAAACAAAAUCAACAACAACGAAUAUGAGGAAAGGACAACAUGUAAUCUACUGAGCACAUAAAAUUAAGUGGGAAAAAGAAACUGUCAACAACACACAAAAAAAGACAUCAAAAUCUUACCUGUGCAUAAUUACGCUGAAUGUAAAUGGACUAAAUGCACCAAUAAAGAGACAGAGUUGCCGAAUGGAUUAAAAAACAAGACCGGCCUAUAUGCUGCCUACAAGAGACACAACUUAGACUUAGAGACACAAACAAACUAAAACUCAAAGGAUGGGAAAAAAUAUAGCAAGCAAAUAACAAAAAAGAGCAGGAGUGGCAAUAUUAAUUUCUGACAAAAUAGACUUUAAAGUUAAAUCCAUCAUAAAGGGUGAGGAAGGACAUUAUAUAAUGAUUAAAAAGAUAACAAAACAAGAAGAUAUAACCAUAUUAAAUAUUUAUGCACCCAAUGACAGGGCUUCAAGAGACAUAAAACAAACUCUUUCAGCAUUGAAAAGUGAGAUAGACAGCUCCACAAUAAUAAAGGACACUUCAACACAGCACUUUUGAUGAAGGUCAGGACAUCCAGAAAGAAGCUCAAUAAAAACACGGAAGAUCUAAAUGCCACACUCAACCAACUUGACCUCAUAGACAUAUACAGAACACUCCACCCAACAGUGACCAAGUAUACUUUCUUUUCUAGUGGACAUGAAACACUCUCUAGAAUAGACCACAUAUUAGGUCAUAAAGCAAGCCUUAGCAGAAUCCAAAACAUUGAAAUAUUACAAAGCAUCUUCUCUGACCAUAAGGCCGUAAAAGUGGAAAUCAAUAACAGAAAAAGCAGAGAAAAGAAAUCAAACACUUGGAAACUGAACAAUACCCUGUUCAAAAAAGACUGGAUUAUAGAAGACAUUAAGGAUGGAAUAAAGAAAUUCAUAGAAUCCAGUGAGAAUGAAAACAGUUCCUAUCAGAACCUUUGGGACAGAGCGAAAGCAGUUCUCAAUUUAUAUCAAUAAAUGCACACAUCCAAAAAGAAGAAAGCGCCAAAAUCAAAGAAUUAUGCCUACAACUUGAACAAAUAGAAAGAGAGCAACAACAACAAAAUGCUCAGGCACCAGAAGAAAACAUACUAAAAGUGAGAGCAGAACAAAAUGAAAACAAUUGAAAGAAUUAACAAGACCAAAAGCUGCUCCUUUGAAAAAAUCAACAAAAUUGAUAAACCAUUGGCCAAAUUGACAAAAGAAAAACAGGAGAGGAUGCAAAUAGCCUGAAUAAGAAAUGAGAUGGGCAAUAUUACAACAGACCCAACUGAAAUUAAAAGAACCAUAUCAGACUAUUAUGAAAAAUUGUACUCUAACAAAUUUGAAAACCUAGAAGAAAUCGAUGAUUUCCUAGAAACACACUACCCAGCUAAACUAACACAAAGAGAGGUAGAACAACUAAAUAGACCCACAACGAAAGAAGAGAUUGAAAAGGUAAUUUAAAAAACUCCCUCAAAAAAAAGCCCUGGCCCGGACGGCUUCACCGCAGAGUUCUACCAAACUUUCAAAGAAGAGUUAACACCACUACUACUACACGUAUUUCAGAGCACAGAAAAGGAUGAAAUAGUAACAAACUCAUUUGGUGAAGCUGUCAUAUCCCUGACACCAAAACCAGGUAAAGACACCAAAAAAAAAGAAAACUACAGACCUAUAUCCCUCAUGAACUUAAAUGCAAAAAUCCUCAACAAAAUUCUAGCCAAUAGAAUUCAACAACAUGUCAAAAAAAUAAUUCACCAUGACCAUGUGGGAUUCAUACCAGGUAUGCAGGGAUGGUUCAGCAUUAGAAAAACAAUUAAUGUAAUUCAUCGCAUAAAUAAAGCAAAAGACAAGAAUCACAUGAUUUUAUCAAUUGAUGCAGAAAAGGCAUUUGACAGAGUUCCACACCCAUUCAUGAUAAAAACUCUCAGCAAAAUAGAAUAGAAGGAAAAUUCCUCAACAUAAUAAAGGGCAUUUAUACAAAGCCAACAGCCAACAUCAUCCUAAAUGGAGAGAGCCUGAAAGCAUUUCCCUUGGGAACAGGAACUAGAGAAGGAUGCUUUUUAUCAUUGCUCUUAUUCAACAUCAUGCUGGAGGUCCUAGCCAGAGCAAUUAGGCUAGACAAAGAAAUAAAGGGCAUCCGGCUUGGCAAGGAAGAAGUAAAAUUAUAUCUGUUUGCAGACAACAUGAUCUUAUACACAGAAAACCCUAAGGAAUCCUGAGGUAACUACUGAAACUAAUAGAAGAGUUCAGCAGAGCAUCAAGAUACAAGAUAAACAUACAAAAAUCAGUUGGAUUCCUCUACACCAACAAAAAGAACAUCGAAGAGGAAAUCACCAAAUCAAUACCGUUUACAGUAGCCCCCAAGAAGAUAAAAUACUUAGGAAUAAAUCUUACCAGAGAUGUAAAAGACUUAUACAAAGAAAACUACAAUACACUUCUGCAAGAAACCAAAAGAGACUUACAGAAGUGGAAAAACAUACCUUGCUCAUGGAUAGGAAGACUUAACAUUAUAAAAAGGGCUAUUGUACCAACAGUGAUCUACACAUUUAAUGUAAUUCUGAUCCAAAUUCCAACGACAUUCUUUAAUGAGGUGGAGAAACAAAUCACCAACUUCAUAGGGAAGGGAAAGAGGCCCUGGAUAAGUAAAGUGUUACUGAAAAAGAGGAACAAAGUGGGAGGCCUUACUUUACCUGAUUUUAGAACCUAUUAUGCUGCCACAGUAGUCAAAACAGCCUGGUACUGGUACAACAACAGAUACAUGGACCGAUGGAACAGAAUGGAGAAUCCAGGCAUAAAUCCAUCCACAUAUGAGCAGCUGAUAUUUGACAAAGGCCCCAAAACAGUUAAAUGGGGAAAAGACAAUCUUUUUAACAGAUGGUGCUGGCAUAACUGGAUAUCCAUCUGCAAAAAAAUGAAACAAGACCCAUACCUCAUUCCAUGCACAAAAACGAGGUCAAAAUGGAUCAAAGACCUAAAUAUAAAAUCUAAAACAAUUAAGAUCAUGGAAGAAAGAAUAGGGACAACAUUAGGAGCCCUAAUAUAUGGCAUAAACAGUAUAAAAAGUAUAAAAAACAUUAUUAAGAAUGCAGAAGAAAAACUAGGUAACUGGGAGCUCCUAAAAAUCAAACACCUAUGCUCAUCCAAACACUUCACCAAAAGAGUAAAAAGACUACCUACAGACUGGGAAAAUUUUUUAGCUAUGAUAUUUCUGAUCAGCACCUGAUCUCUAAAUCUACAUGAUACUGCAAAAACUCGACUAUAAAGAGACAAAUAACCUAUUUUAAAAAUGGGCAGAAGAUAUGAACAGAUACUUCACUAAAGAAGACAUUCAGGUAGCUAACAGAUAAUGCUCACAAUUAUUAACCAUUAGAGAAAUGCAAGUCAAAACUACAAUGAGAGUUUAUCUCACUCCAACAAGGCUGGCAUUAAUCCAAAAAACACAAAAAAAUAAAUGUUUGAGAGGCUGUGGAGAGACUGGAACACUUACACACUGCUGGUGGGAAUGUAAAAUGGUACAACCACUUUGGAAAUCGAUUUAGCGCUUCCUUAAAAAGCUAGAAAUAGAACAACCAUAUGAUCCAGCAAUCCCACUCCUUGGGAUAUAUCCUAGAGAAAUAAGAGCCUUUACAUGAACAGAUACAUGCACACCCAUGUUUAUUGCAGCACUGUUUACAAUAGCAAACAGAUGGAAGCAACCAAGGUGCCCAUCAACAGAUGAAUGGAUAAAUAAAUUAUGGUAUAUUCAUACAAUGGAAUACUAUGCAUCGAUAAAGAACAGUGAGGAAUCUGUGAAACGUUUCAUAACAUGGAGGAAUCUGGAAGGCAUUAUGCUGAGUGAAAUUAGUCAGUUGCAAAAGGACAAGUAUUAUAUAAGACCACUAUUACAAGAGCUUGAGAAAUAGUUUAAACUGGGAAGAAAACAUUCAUUUCUGGUUACGAGAAGGGGGUGGGGAAGGCAGGGAGAGGAUUAUUCACUAAUUAGAUAGUAGAUAAGAACUACCUUAGGUGAAGGGAAAGACAACACACAAUACAGGGGAGGUCACCACAACUGGACUAAACCAAAAGCAAAGAAGUUUCCUGAAUAAACUGAAUGCUUUGAAGGCCAGCGUAGCAGAGGCAGGGUUUUGGGGACCAUGGUUUCAGGGGACAUCUAAAUCAAUUGGCAUAAUAAAAUCUAUUAAGAAAACAUUCUGCAUCCCACUUUGAAGAGUGGCGUCUGGGGUCUUAAAUGCUAGCAAGCAGCCAUCUAAGAUGCAUCAAUUGGUCUCAACCCACUUGGAUCAAAGGAGAAUGAAGAACACCAAGGACACAAGGUAAUUAUGAGCCCAAGAGACAGAAAGGGCCACAUGAACCAGAGACUACAUCAUCGUGAGACCAGAAGAACUAGAUGAUGCCAAGCUACUACUGAUGACUGCCCUAACAGGGACCACAACAGAGAACCCCUGAGGGAGCAGGAGAGCAGUGGGAUGCAGACCCCAAAUUCUCCUAAAAAGACCAGACUUAAUGGUCUGACAGAGACUAGAAGGACCUCAGUGGUCAUGGCCCCCAGACCUUCUGUUGGCCAGUACAGGAACCAUUCCCGAAGCCAAUUCUUCAGACAGGGAUUGGAGUGAACAAUGGGUUGGAGAGGUAUGCUGGUGAGGACUAAGCUUCUUGGAUCAGGUGGACACUUGAGACUAUGUUGGCAUCUACUGCUGGGGCGGGGGUGGGGGAGAUGAGAGGGUGGAGGGGGUUAGAAGCUGGCGAAAUGGACAUGAAAAGAGAGAGUGGAGGGAGAGAACGGGCUGUCUCAUUAGGGGGAGAGUAAUUGGGAGUAUGUAGGAAGGUGUAUAUAUGUUUUAGUUGACUUGAUUUGUAAACUCACUUAAAGCAAAAUAAAAAUUAUAUAUAUAAAAAAAAAAGAUGGCACAUGAAGCCAGGUGUUUGAGAGACAGGAAAGUAAGGAGGUGAGAGAGAGAGUGAAGAAACUGAAAGAAGCCAAAAAUGCAACAGUAGCAACAACAAAAUGACAGUGAAGGAACUGUCUGGUGUGGAUGGGGCAAAUCCAAGUGGCAAAGAGCUGGUGUCUUCCUGGCCAAGUGACCUUGGCCUGCUGGAAAAUGGAAGAGGCCGAGCAGUGAAAAAAAGGUGGGAGGUGGGAAAGUGUGUAUUGCUCAUUACCGUGUGCUCUGUCUUCUGUCGGGAGCUCCAGGAAGCUGCCUUCCUGUACUCCCUGUCUGCCUUUCUUGGUGGGUGAGAGGCCCAAGAUGUCAAAUCCGUGCCAGGUUAGCUGAUAGGGGACCUUCAGUCUGUAGCUCUCCUUGCUUUCUGUUCUGUGUCAGUUUCUUAUUCCAUUCUGUGCUUGGUUGAGUUCUUUAUCCCUUCAUUUGACAUUUAGGGUUCCAAGAUCGAUGUUUGUCUCUGUUUUCUGUGGAGGGAUGGCGUGUUGCUUCUGUCUAUAGCGCCAGAUUGGCUCCCGUCUCAGUCGGUAUUAUGAUUUUGAGAGUAAGCCAUGUUUUUCCAUGGAUGGGUAAUUUGUUCCUUUUUUUUUUUUUUUAAUUGCUGAUCAGCAUUCUAUUAUAUGGAUGUACCACAGUUUUUUUUAUCCGUUCAGUUGUUGAUCGGCAUUUGGCUUACAUUCCCACCAACACUGUUGCUUUACAUCCUUGCCAGCACUUGCUACCCUCAGUCUUUCUAAUUUUAUCCAUUCUAGUUUUUUUAGUAAGAGUGUAGUAGUAUUGCAUUGUAGUUUUAAUAUGUAUUUGCCUAAUGACUUAUGAUGUUGAGCAUCUUUUCAUAUGCUUAUUUGCAAAUAGUGUAUCUUCUUUGGUGAAGUGUGUGUUCAGAUCUUUGGCCUGUUCUUUUUUUUGGAGGGUGGAGUUGAUUGAAUCCUUACUGUUAAGUUGUAGGUGUUCAUAUAAAAAAAAAAAAAAAUAGCCUAGACAAAAGUCCUCCAUCACAUAUAUAUGCUUUGUAAAUACUUUCUCACAAUC
Molecule: long non-coding RNA, 26112 nt
Organism: Loxodonta africana (African savanna elephant)
Lineage: Eukaryota; Metazoa; Chordata; Mammalia; Proboscidea; Elephantidae
Exons: 5
Source: RefSeq, a predicted model, not a curated record